UACGGAGGGGACUAGCGUUGUUCGGAAUUACUGGGCGUAAAGCGCACGUAGGCGGAUUUGUAAGUCAGGGGUGAAAUCCCGAGGCUCAACCUCGGAACUGCCUUUGAUACUGCAAAUCUCGAGUCCGGAAGAGGUGAGUGGAAUUCCUAGUGUAGAGGUGAAAUUCGUAGAUAUUAGGAAGAACACCAGUGGCGAAGGCGGCAUCCUGGACCGGCAUUGACGCUGAGGCGCGAAAGCUAGGGUAGCAAACGGG
This 253-nucleotide ribosomal RNA is filed under the name uncultured bacterium. RNAcentral describes it as "partial 16S ribosomal RNA". It matches the Rfam family "Bacterial small subunit ribosomal RNA", at positions 524 to 776 of the family's 1533-position model. The record is from RNAcentral.